GGAUAGGUACAGCUCAGUGGUAGAAUGCAUGCUUAGCACGCAUGAGGUCCUGGGUUCAAUCCCCAGCACCUCCA
This is a transfer RNA of Camelus ferus (Wild Bactrian camel), 74 nucleotides long. It matches the Rfam family "tRNA". Rfam says of the family: Transfer RNA (tRNA) molecules are approximately 80 nucleotides in length. Their secondary structure includes four short double-helical elements and three loops (D, anti-codon, and T loops). Lineage: Eukaryota; Metazoa; Chordata; Mammalia; Artiodactyla; Camelidae. The record is from Rfam.